Molecule: ribosomal RNA, 361 nt
Filed under: uncultured eukaryote
Lineage: Eukaryota
Description: partial 18S ribosomal RNA
Rfam family: Eukaryotic small subunit ribosomal RNA
Source: RNAcentral
CAAUAGCAUAUAUUAACGUUGUUGCAGUUGAAAAGCUCGUAGUUGAACUUUUGGUAGGAGCGACCUGGCCUUGGGCGCAUGCCCUUGUUUGCCGUGUGUCGUAUCUGGCCAUCCUUUUCUUCUUUUGGAAGGAAUCUUUUACUGUGAGUAAACUGGAGUGCUCAAAACAAGACGUUUGUUUGGUACAUUAAAGCAUGGAAUAAUAAGAUAGGACCUGGUUACUAUUUUGUUGGUUUGCAUAGCUAGGUAAUGAUUAACAGGGACAGUUGGGGGUAUUCGUAUUUAAUUGUCAGAGGUGAAAUUCUUGGAUUUAUGAAAGACGAACGACUGCGAAAGCAUUUACCAAGGAUGUUUUCAUUAA